UUCCCCCUAAGGUUAACAGAUCGGUGUGAUUAUUUCUGUAAACAGAUCCCAGAAGUAAAAUUGCUGCAUGAAGAAGAACCAGCUCUCAGAUGAAGGUAGACACCGACCAAAAAAGUCAUUGAAAUGCAUCUCAGCUAGAUGUUCUCUGAAUUCACCCCCUGGGCUUUAUCAU
This 172-nucleotide long non-coding RNA is filed under the name Mustela putorius furo (domestic ferret). RNAcentral's name for it is "lncRNA (ENSMPUG00000031228.1)". The record is from RNAcentral. Lineage: Eukaryota; Metazoa; Chordata; Mammalia; Carnivora; Mustelidae.